Long non-coding RNA from Frieseomelitta varia, 1951 nucleotides. RefSeq lists it as uncharacterized. The transcript has 3 exons. Lineage: Eukaryota; Metazoa; Arthropoda; Insecta; Hymenoptera; Apidae. The record is from RefSeq and is a predicted model, not a curated record.
CCGCGGUCCACGGUUCACAAUUUCCGGGCCCCGCCGGAUCUGUUUUUUCUUCGCUCGUCGCAACGUCCGGGCAAAAAAAAGAAACGAAAAAACGAACGAACGAUCAACGGUCGUCUCCGUUUUCCAGAGGGAGAGACGUGUGCCACCUGAGCAGCCGAGGGAAGGCCUGUCAAUCGACGGUGAGCGGAAGUUGGCAAGAAAAGUGUCGGCCGCUUUUCCGGUAGCGUCGUUUUCCCGCCACUUUCGUCAGAGGUAAGAUGGCCGCGGUUGUGACACCAUCCUUGCUGUGGAACUGGGCGUUCGAAUCACCGGCGUAGUGAGCCAGUACGUGCAUCGUGAACAGCAAUUGUCAUCGACGAGAACAAGACGAUUAUCGAGUAUCUAGUGCAGGCGAAUGGUGGCAAGGUACCAGUUAUCAUGAGACAAACCAGCCUCGAUACGUGGACCGUUGUUUCGGUGGUGGUUGUCGUUUCGGCGGAAAGCCGGUAGGAUAUUUGAAGAAACGUCUGUGAGUUAUCCUGCGCUUCCUGGUACUCGGGGAAACGCGAUCAUGGAAGAACGUGCCGCGAGCGUGUGUACCGUGCCUGAUCGUACCGCGCGAGCGUCCAUCUAACCUACAAACGCGAGAGUGACAGUCGGUGUUGACGCGUUGUGGACAAGUGCGAUGACAGUGGGGAGCGGAGUCCAGCUGUCGACGGAGCCGAUCACCACGACGGAAACGUCUUGAGGAAGCUUGGAGCGCAAGACAGCGUAUGAUUAACCAGUAAAUAAAAGUGCGGUUUUUUUCUCCCCACCCCUCCUCCCAAGUGCAAUAUUAUAACGAAUAUCGCGAUCGACCAAUAUUAGUGCAAUAAUUUGAUUACGAGACUUUUCGUAAGGGAAAUGCAUACAUGUACGUGUGUAUAUAUGUGAAAGAGAGAGAGAGAGAGAGAGAAAAAGAAAGAGAGACACAUAAGUAGGAUACAGAAUAAAUCUAGUCAUCGACCGAGGAACGAUACUAUUUUUAAUGUAAACGGUUAUCGCUGGUAAGAGUCUCGAUCGAAGGCCGCGAGCCAAUCACGGACCACGCAGGAGAGAGAGAGACAGGUAGACAGCGAAAACAUUAGACCAGUGCGCGGUUCACCCUUGACGCCGUUUGUAACCGACACAGCGUGUUUAUAUCGUGCGCGAAGUUAUCCAUAGUUUCAGUUCGGUUGUUCACGUCGUAACACGCACGCCAUACCGCCAUCUCGAAUUAUAUAUACGGGAUUACAUACGCUCCGAUCGUCGGUUAUAUAUUUUCCCGUAAAAAGGUGCGAAACGAGAAGCGAGAUGCGUGAAAAAGGGACGCGGGACUGCCCAUCGAAUCCCAGUGAAUCUUCUCGUAAUUAGAAGUGUCUCGGAAACGAUAUCGUGCUUCUAGAGGAGCAGGACAAGUACAAGGAACGCAGUGCUUAACGAAAUAGCAGAAACAAACGAAAGAGGAGAGGGUGAGGUGUGUUUGUCCUUGUUUCUCGUUUGGACGAAAAGGUGGAGCAAUAGAUAUUAGAUAUCUCAACGACGACGAGAAUUCGCGUGGUUGUGUCGGACCCGAUCUGGAAGCUCUGGCGAAGUAAAAUCGGUACCGGAAGUGCGACCGAUUGCUCGCAGUGACGUAAGAAGGAACCGUGGCGCCUCGGGACUAUUCUACGGUGCCAAGCGAAUAUUUCGGGUCGGGUGGAAUCGAGUCCUCGGACGCGUAUACGCAAUUAGGUGACUGUAUUCGGUGUUCUAGUGAAAAAUGUAUCCGUGGUACCGGGACAGCGUCGCGGCGGCGGCGGCAGCCGGCCUCGGAGGACCCGUCGGAGUUGUGGGUUCCGGAUUCUGCUCUACCGGGCCGGGCCAAGGCGGCACCACUAUCAAGACCGAGACCGGAUAUUCGGAUUGCAUGCUGGCCCUCGACUAUGUCCAGAGUAAGGUAAAGCCUCUCUCG